GAUGAACGCUGGCGGCGUGCUUAACACAUGCAAGUCGAACGGAGAGCUCAUGACAGAGGAUUCGUCCAAUGGAUUGAGUUUCUUAGUGGCGGACGGGUGAGUAACGCGUGAGGAACCUGCCUCGGAGUGGGGAGUAACAGUCCGAAACGGAACGUGCUAAUAACCGCCAUAAUAGCAGUUGUUGUCGCAUGACACUGACUGCCAAACGAAUUAUUCGCUCUGAGAUGGCCUCGCGUCUGAUUA
RNAcentral lists this ribosomal RNA (243 nucleotides) under uncultured bacterium. RNAcentral describes it as "partial 16S ribosomal RNA". It matches the Rfam family "Bacterial small subunit ribosomal RNA", at positions 28 to 243 of the family's 1533-position model. The record is from RNAcentral.